Molecule: ribosomal RNA, 171 nt
Filed under: uncultured bacterium
Lineage: Bacteria
Description: partial 16S ribosomal RNA
Rfam family: Bacterial small subunit ribosomal RNA
Source: RNAcentral
CACGCCCUAAACGAUGUCAACUAGCCGUUGGGUUCGUAAAUGAGCUUAGUGGCGCAGCUAACGCGAUAAGUUGACCGCCUGGGGANCAACGCGAAGAACCUUACCAGGCCUUGACAUCUAGCGAACUUUCCAGAGAUGGAUUGGUGCCUUCGGGAACGCUAAGACAGGUGC